RNAcentral lists this transfer RNA (359 nucleotides) under Microcystis sp. AICB 689. RNAcentral's name for it is "16S-23S ribosomal RNA intergenic spacer". The stretch from base 135 to 208 matches the Rfam family "tRNA". The record is from RNAcentral. Lineage: Bacteria; Bacillati; Cyanobacteriota; Cyanophyceae; Chroococcales; Microcystaceae.
AAGGGAGACCUAAUUCGGGUAUGGGACGAAAAAAAAGUAGUCGCUACCAAGAAUCAAUCCCAAAAGGUCGGAGCGAGGCAAGAUUGGCUUUCAAACUAGGUUCUGGGUUCACACAAGACCUGAAUCAGGAACAAGGGCUAUUAGCUCAGGUGGUUAGAGCGCACCCCUGAUAAGGGUGAGGUCCCUGGUUCGAGUCCAGGAUGGCCCACCUGCACAGGUGGAAAAAAGAAAAGAAGCUCCGAAUCAGCACCUUAUCUUACUUAUAUAGUAAGAGAGAAUGCUGGCUCUGAGUNCAGAGUCCAGAGGAACCUUGAAAACUGCAUAGAGCUAGGUGAAAAAGCCAAAAAAGAAGACCGCAA